Molecule: non-coding RNA, 23 nt
Filed under: Cricetulus griseus (Chinese hamster)
Lineage: Eukaryota; Metazoa; Chordata; Mammalia; Rodentia; Cricetidae
Source: RNAcentral
AAGGAGAGAGGAAACUGUAGGGG